Schistocerca cancellata (South American locust) is the source of this 74-nucleotide non-coding RNA. The record is from the annotation of a RefSeq genome assembly. Lineage: Eukaryota; Metazoa; Arthropoda; Insecta; Orthoptera; Acrididae.
UCCUCGGUGGCUCAGUUGGACAAAGCAUCUGCCCCGUAAGCAGGAGAUUCCGGGUUCGAGUCCCGGUCGGGGCA